This 211-nucleotide ribosomal RNA is filed under the name Pseudoalteromonas lipolytica. Its description in RNAcentral is "partial 16S ribosomal RNA". It matches the Rfam family "Bacterial small subunit ribosomal RNA", at positions 1 to 211 of the family's 1533-position model. Lineage: Bacteria; Pseudomonadati; Pseudomonadota; Gammaproteobacteria; Alteromonadales; Pseudoalteromonadaceae. The record is from RNAcentral.
UUUAAUUGAAGAGUUUGAUCAUGGCUCAGAUUGAACGCUGGCGGCAGGCCUAACACAUGCAAGUCGAGCGGAAACGAAGAGGUGCUUGCACCUCUGGCGUCGAGCGGCGGACGGGUGAGUAAUGCUUGGGAAUAUGCCUUAUGGUGGGGGACAACAGUUGGAAACGACUGCUAAUACCGCAUGAUGUCUACGGACCAAAGUGGGGGACCUU